AAGUCGUAACAAGGUUUCCGUAGGUGAACCUGCGGAAGGAUCAUUACCGAGAUUUUUUCCUGCUUGCAGGAAAUCUCCCACCCUUUUGUGUAACUAAAUUUUGAUAUACUUUGGUAAAGCGCUUGUUGAGCAUACGUGCUAAGCAACCAGUGACUGACUUUUUUUUUAUGUUAGUGGCUGUGUCUUUGCCAAAGGACCCCAAAUAUAACUCUAUUUUAUAUAAUUAUUUUGUCUGAGUUUAUAAUUUUUAAAAUAAACAAAACUUUCAACAACGGAUCUCUUGGUUCUG
RNAcentral lists this unclassified non-coding RNA (289 nucleotides) under Clavatospora longibrachiata. RNAcentral's name for it is "partial internal transcribed spacer region". The stretch from base 1 to 46 matches the Rfam family "Eukaryotic small subunit ribosomal RNA", at positions 1786 to 1831 of the family's 1831-position model. The record is from RNAcentral. Lineage: Eukaryota; Fungi; Ascomycota; Sordariomycetes; Microascales; Halosphaeriaceae.